RNA transcript from Boleophthalmus pectinirostris (great blue-spotted mudskipper), 3534 nucleotides. RefSeq lists it as uncharacterized. The transcript is spliced from 18 exons. The record is from RefSeq and is a predicted model, not a curated record. Lineage: Eukaryota; Metazoa; Chordata; Actinopteri; Gobiiformes; Gobiidae.
UAACGCAGCUGUUGCUCAGCUCUAAAAAGGGUCAUUUAGGUUCUCCCCUUAAACAUUUGAAGUUAACUCAGCUAAAGGUCUGAUUUUGCUGAUGUUCCCUUCAAGCGGCCUUUUUGCAAAAAUAAACUGUAGUUUAUCUGAACGCGCACUUUGUGUACGACCUCAUUGUGUGUUCAAACAUGCCAAUGAAGAACAGGAAAGGCACACGUGUGACUUAUCGGAUAAACCAACGACAGACUUGACAGCUACUGAAGAGGCCACUGACGAGUGCCUUCAAGAACUUGAGCGGAUAAACCGGGAGAUUGAAAGUGUGAAGCACCAAGUUGAGGAAGAGCAGAGGAGACUUUCACACUACCAGAGUAAAAAUGUAGCCCAAAAUUCAUAUUCUUCACACACCUCUCCUUCAGCUCCUCGCGCCAAACCAGAAAAGUACAUACUCGACAGUACAAAGCCUAGGACAGAUUUGGAGUAUGACCCUCUCUCCAAUUUCUCUUCUGAUCUGCGCUCCUACUGCUCAUCAAAUAGGGAGCACAAAACUAGAAAUGGGCAAGAUUCGAAAAGAAGAGGACGAGCUACACUAAAUCAAAGGAAAUUAAAUGUGCAGGCGCCCCCACCUCCAAAACGGUCUCCUGAGCAUUCAGAUUCAAACGAAGAGGACAUUUUAAUAAUUGACAUUCCUCCUUCCCCUGACAAAGUUAAAGUCAAAACAAAAACAGUUUUAAACUUGGCCUCUGUUAAUGUAAGUGAAAAAAUCAAAACUGUGGAACAAAGCGAAAAACCUUUAAAUGCAAUGUCUUCUAAAAAUGUUACAAGCAAUAACUUCAUACCAACUGAUGAGAAUAUUUUUGUUAAAAUGAAUCAGCAUUUGUCUAAUUAUCUAAACCCACCACAACCAUGUGAACAGAAGAAAACACUACAUGAUAGAAACUCCAAUGCUAAUGCUCUCCCAGUUAAUGAGGCUCCAACAAGUCAGAUUCAGAAAUCUGAAGCUCCUGGUGAUAAUAUAAACACUGGUGAUUCUCCAAACCUACUAUCGAUCAAAUCAAGAAAAAAUCAAGAGCAGAACCACCCUAUUGCACCGCAGCAACUACAGAUGGUGUUUGUUGGGAGCCUUUGUGAACCUCAGGAUAUUUUGGCAGCUGCAAAAUUGACAAGUAAUGUUGAAAUGCAGUCUGCCAUAAAUGACAGGCAAGUCCCAUCCAAAAAAGAACAAGUUAUAAUGAUUGACUCUAGCACUGAAGAUGAACUAAAUUACUCAGAUUUGGAUAUAUCUGAGAGUGAUCCAGAUGAGGAAUGUUACAGGAUUUUUAUGGAGGCAAAUGGAGAGGACCCCAACCUUAACCCUAACUGUAAGCCACCUGAACCUCCACCUGACUUUGGCCAUAAUGCAGAGGCAGAGAAAGUAGAUGUCAGUUUGCCACUGCCAGCUGUAUUGGGAAAGAAGAGGGUUGCUCACGAAGCCAAAAUCACAGAUCAGUCGGGUACGAAGGUCCGACCACAGCCCCAGGUUCUUGUACCCGUACGGGCGCCAGUGUCCUCAGCUCCUCUAGCACCUGCACUGCCCAUGAUCCCCAAAGUGGAGCAGGAGGCUUCAGUAUUGACCACGUCCAUCAGAGCAGGACAGGCCUCGAUUUCCAAAGGGCGCUCUGAAGCCCAAUGUGCACAAACCACCCAGUGUUCUGCCACAAAAAAGCCAGUAUCAUACGUCAGUUAUAUUCCUCUGGGAGCUACAGUGAUUGAUGUGGGAAACAACCUGCACUUAGUCCUGCCAGAGGGGACUUUCUCAGUGUCUGACAGCCCUGGACAAGUUAACUCAGUCCUAACUCCCAUUACACCAGCGAAUACACACUCAAUGACCAUCAGACAGGCUGGUCAUCCGUCUGCACCAACACAACAGAGGUGCACCUCCCAACCUGUGAUCAUCCCCCCUCUGGCUCGCAGGCCAAUCAUGGCCACAACAAGCGCAAAUCAGUGUUCCUCAACUACAGCUUCUGUAGUGAAGCCAGUUGCUACAAAACGUAAAUUAAAGCAGCAAUGUGAGACUGUCAAAGUGCCCCAUGACAUAAGGCAGAGUUAUGUGAAUAAGUUUACGGAAGAGUUUAUGAAGACCACAAGUAAUGUGAAUGACGCUUUUGAAAAGGCACUUGCUGAGGAAAAGACUGUCUAUAAUCGUAGUGCAAACAAAUUAAAAUAUCUGAGUGUUGCUGUAAAUGCACUGAAGAGGCUCAGGAACCAAAGUUGUGGAGCAGUUGAAGACAACCAUCAAACUAGUCAAAAGACAAAAGGCCACAUCCCAUUGAACCGGAGUAUGCUGAAUGGAAAAGGGGUGGUAAUGUUGUAUGAGUGUUUAAAGGACUAUGUUUUGACUGAGGAAAUGCUGAUUGAAAGAAACUUUCCACUCCAGAAUCCAGAAAAACCUGGAAGUGCUAUUCUUUUUGCAGACAACAAAAAAAGCACAUCAUAUUCCCUUCGGAAACUGUGCUGCCGUUGUGGUGCUACAUACUCUGUGAGUCGCACAGGGAAACACACUCGAAAGGAGGAGUGCACUUAUCACUAUGGAAAGGGGGUUGAAAAUAAAGUGCCUGGCGGUGUGGAGACACGCUACAGUUGCUGUCAGGGAGUAAUGGGAUCACCUGGCUGCCAAGUGUUCAAGCUGCAUGUGUGUAAUUCCUUAAGCAUGGACGGGUUUGUAUCAACUGCACGAAGAGAUCCUGCAGAUAAAAGCUGUCCUGGAGUUUUCUCCUUGAACUGUGAAAUGUGUUAUACCAUUUAUGGUUUGGAGUUGUCAAGAGUGACUGUGGUCAACACCAGUCUUCAGAUUGUUUAUGACACCUUUGUGAGACCAAACAACGAGGUAAUCGACUAUAAUACAAGGUUUACUGGGAUCAGUCAGGAAGAUGUGGAGAGACACUCUCACUCCCUUAAAGAAGUCCAAGAUGCUCUAUUAAGCUUCAUCAGUGCUGAUACAAUUCUAAUUGGUCACAGCCUAGAAACAGACCUGUGUGUUCUCAAGUUGCUACAUGGAACAGUGGUGGACACAUCUGUGGUUUUUCCCCAUCGUCUUGGUUCCCCUCAUAUACUCUCACUACACAACCUCACAGCUGAAUAUCUCAGAAAGAUCAUCCAAGAGAGUGUGUGUGGCCAUGACACUGCUGAAGAUGCUGUUGCAUGCAUGGAACUUAUGAUCUGGAAGGCCAAAGAAGACAGAAAACUGAAAAAAUUGCAAUAAAUCUAAUGCACUGUUUACUCGCAUUUCCACAAACAAAACUUACAAGUCUUGAGUAAAAGAUAAAGGAGGAGCAGUAUCACAGACAGAAGAAAAGCGGCCACAUCUAGACAAUGGUACUGGUACCAGUGAUGUUAUUGAUCAUGGAUCCAAGUGUAAAGACAACAAUACCAGCAUCUCCGGAACUCUCCACAAACUCUUCUAGAUCCUGUGAUAGAGGAUCUUACUACUCAAUUGCAAGUUAUUUUAGAUUGACAUACUGGCGCCACUGAAAAAUUUAACUUAAAAUAAAAAGAGACUAAACCUUU